RNAcentral lists this unclassified non-coding RNA (193 nucleotides) under rhizosphere metagenome. Its description in RNAcentral is "partial ribosomal RNA internal transcribed spacer region". The record is from RNAcentral.
GAGUUCCUGCCCCCUGGGUAGAUCUCCCACCCUUGCUUAUCAUACCAUUGUUGCUUUGGCAGGCCGUCUCUGUGAGCCACUGGCCCCCCGCGGCGAGUGCGUGCCUGCCAGAGAACCACAAACUCCGCAUCAUAGUUAUCGUCUGAGUCUGAUAUAAAUAUCUAAAACUUUCAACAACGGAUCUCUUGGUUCU